UUCUUCAGCUGAAGCUGAGCCUUUUUUUUCUUUUCUAAAGCAAUCAUAGGAUGAAGCCUGUGCCUAUUUUUGUCUGGUGACGAUAUAUUGGAACAAACAUUCUAUUUAUUUACAAUUUUAACUGCAUUUCAUGCUUUUAUAAUACAACUCUGUUACUACAGAAAGCACUACAAGUUAGUGUUAAUGUACAGUUAUACAUACAGUACACUAGACAUGUAAUUAUCUUGUAGAUUAUCACAGAGUUCCCAUUGCUGACUGACCAUAUGUCUUAUGUUUUGACAAACUCUACAUGUUCUAAACACAGCUGCAUCUGAUGCAUUUCUUUCCUGUCUUUUUACAUUUGCACAUGUGGUCUGUUUUUGCAAAUGUCUGGUAAAAUUCAGCCCUACUCAGACAGUAAUUAUAACUUUGUCUUAUUUUAUGAGAUUAGAUUUGAUGACACAUAAGCCCCUUUCACACAGUAAUAUCUGUAAAUUGCCAUAAAAUUACCGGAACGACUUUACCUGUAUUUUUUAAAAGAUCCUUUUCACACAUGAUCUCUUUAUGGCAAUUUACCGGUUAUUUUCCGGAAAAGUCUGUAUGUGUGAAAGGGCUUAUAGUGUAUGAAGUGUGUUUGUGUAUACACUAUUGUUCAAAAGUUUGAGGUCAAGAAAUGAAUGCUUUUAUUUGCCAAGGAUGCAUUAAAUUGUCCCAAGUCAGAAGGAAGACAUUAAAUACAAAUAUAAAACUACUUUUUUUGUGGUAAGUUUCACAAAAUGACUGUUACUGUAUUUUUGAUCAAAUAAAUGUAGCCUUGGUUAUCAUCAGAGAUUUUAAAUCUGUAUACUGCCUGUUUUAACAGUCUACAUCAGGGCUAUUCAAUUUGCUUCAUUUGAGGACCGGAUUAUCUCAUUUAAAAAUUAAAGGGGGAUGGGGGGCCAUCCUGAUAUCUUUCCGAAGGGGGGCUAUACAAUUAGGAAUUAAAGCGAAAUGCAAAUUCAACAGUAAAAUGAACUAAUAUUACCAACAUCAACAUCUAUAAAAGGUUAACAUUAGUGCUGUCUGUCGAUUGUCGAGUUUUCUCUCAACUCUUGAUCAUUUAGGACUUUAUAAGUCUAUUAAGACCGUGGUCACUCGCCAAAAUUGCUCAUUUUUACACAAUUGUGUGUUUGUUUGUUUUUUCCUUUGAAGCGCUACUGGCGCGCUGUCUGAAGCAGCUUACAGCACAUGCAUACAGCCGAUCAUCUUCAUUCAGUGUCUGCGCUAUUUCUCUCCAGAAGUUAUGACCGAUAUCACUGCCUUUAUACUUGUUUUAUACCCCCCGACGAACACACACACACACGCUGCCAUCUGUUGAUGUAGCGCUCUCCGGUAGAUUGUUGUUUCAUCA
Molecule: long non-coding RNA, 1369 nt
Organism: Carassius carassius (crucian carp)
Lineage: Eukaryota; Metazoa; Chordata; Actinopteri; Cypriniformes; Cyprinidae
Exons: 2
Source: RefSeq, a predicted model, not a curated record